GACGAACGCUGGCGGCGUGCUUAACACAUGCAAGUCGAACGGAAAGGCCCUGCUUUUGUUGGGUUCUCGUUUGGCGAACGCGUGAGUAACACACGUGUAUCCUCCCCUUGUCUUUGUGGUAACUUCUGGAAACUGGGGCUAAUACCCGGGAUGAUCUCCUGCUGCGUGGUGGUCAUUGGUGAGAUUCGGCGGUGGGGGAUGGUGUCGCGGCUUCUCCGCUUGUUGGUGGGGUAGUGGCUUACCAAGGCUUUGACGGGUAGCCUGCCUGGGAGGGUGACCGGCCACAGUGGGACUGAGAUACGGCCCAGAGGGCUACGGGAGGAAGGAGUGGGGACUAGUGCGCAAUGGGCGGAAGCAUGAUGGAGCAACGUCGGGUGGGGGAUGACGGCUUUCGGGGUGGAAACCGUUUUUGAGUGUGAAGAAGCGUGAGUGACGGUAAUGGGCAAAGAAGCACCGGUUAAUUCCGU
This 467-nucleotide ribosomal RNA is filed under the name uncultured bacterium. RNAcentral describes it as "partial 16S ribosomal RNA". It matches the Rfam family "Bacterial small subunit ribosomal RNA", at positions 28 to 506 of the family's 1533-position model. The record is from RNAcentral.